GAGUUUGAUCGUGGCUCAGGAUGAACGCUAGCGGCAGGCCUAAUACAUGCAAGUCGAGGGGCAGCAGGGAUAGCAAUAUUCGCUGGCGACCGGCGCACGGGUGCGUAACACGUAUACAAUCUGCCUUUAACAGGGGGAUAGCCCGGAGAAAUCCGGAUUAAUACCCCAUAACAGAUCGAAUGGCAUCAUUUGAUUUUGAAAGCUCCGGCGGUUAAAGAUGAGUAUGCGUCUGAUUAGCUAGUUGGUGAGGUAACGGCUCACCAAGGCGACGAUCAGUAGGGGAUCUGAGAGGAUUAACCCCCACACGGAUACUGAGACACGGAUCCGACUCCUACGGGAGGCAGCAGCAAGGAAUAUUGGACAAUGCCCGCAAGGGUGAUCCAGCCAUGCCGCGUGCAGGAAGACGGCCCUAUGGGUUGUAAACUGCUUUUACACCGGAGAAAACCUUCCCUCGUGAGGGGAGCUGAUAGUAUGGUGAGAAUAAGCAUCGGCUAACUUCGUGCCA
This 505-nucleotide ribosomal RNA is filed under the name uncultured Flavobacterium sp. RNAcentral's name for it is "bacterial SSU rRNA". It matches the Rfam family "Bacterial small subunit ribosomal RNA", at positions 9 to 510 of the family's 1533-position model. Lineage: Bacteria; Pseudomonadati; Bacteroidota; Flavobacteriia; Flavobacteriales; Flavobacteriaceae. The record is from RNAcentral.